CCCUUAGAUGUUCUGGGCUGCACGCGCGCUACACUGAAGCGUUCAACGAGUAUUCACCUUGCCCGGGAGGGUUGGGUAAUCUUUUGAAAACGCUUCGUGAUGGGGAUAGAUUAUUGCAAUUAUUAAUCUUCAACGAGGAAUUCCUAGUAAGCGCGCCCGUCGCUCCUACCGAUUGAGUGAUCCGGUGAAUAAUUCGGACUGCAGCACUGCUUGGUCUCCAGGCUUUGCAGCGGAAAGUUUAGUGAACCUUAUCACUUAGAGGAAGGAGAAGUCGUAACA
RNAcentral lists this ribosomal RNA (279 nucleotides) under uncultured eukaryote. RNAcentral's name for it is "partial 18S ribosomal RNA". It matches the Rfam family "Eukaryotic small subunit ribosomal RNA", at positions 1470 to 1797 of the family's 1831-position model. The record is from RNAcentral.